AACGAACGCUGGCGGCAUGCCUAACACAUGCAAGUCGAACGAGACCUUCGGGUCUAGUGGCGCACGGGUGCGUAACGCGUGGGAACCUGCCCUUAGGUUCGGAAUAACUCCCCGAAAGGGGUGCUAAUACCGGAUAAUGUCUUCGGACCAAAGAUUUAUCGCCUUUGGAUGGGCCCGCGUUGGAUUAGCUAGUUGGUAGGGUAAAAGCCUACCAAGGCGACGAUCCAUAGCUGGUCUGAGAGGAUGAUCAGCCACACUGGGACUGAGACACGGCCCAGACUCCUACGGGAGGCAGCAGUGGGUAAUAUUGGACAAUGGGCGAAAGCCUGAUCCAGCAAUGCCGCGUGAGUGAUGAAGGCCUUAGGGUUGUAAAGCUCUUUUACACGGGAUGAUAAUGACAGUACCGGGAGAAUAAGCUCCGGCUAACUCCGUG
RNAcentral lists this ribosomal RNA (433 nucleotides) under uncultured bacterium. Its description in RNAcentral is "partial 16S ribosomal RNA". It matches the Rfam family "Bacterial small subunit ribosomal RNA", at positions 29 to 507 of the family's 1533-position model. The record is from RNAcentral.